AGUGAACGCUGGCGGUAGGCCUAACACAUGCAAGUCGAACGGCAGCACAGUAAGAGCUUGCUCUUACGGGUGGCGAGUGGCGGACGGGUGAGGAAUACAUCGGAAUCUACUUUUUCGUGGGGGAUAACGUAGGGAAACUUACGCUAAUACCGCAUACGACCUACGGGUGAAAGCAGGGGAUCUUCGGACCUUGCGCGAUUGAAUGAGCCGAUGUCGGAUUAGCUAGUUGGCGGGGUAAAGGCCCACCAAGGCGACGAUCCGUAGCUGGUCUGAGAGGAUGAUCGGCCACACGGGAACUGAGACACGGUCCAGACUCCUACGGGAGGCAGCAGUGGGGAAUAUUGGACAAUGGGCGCAAGCCUGGUCCAGCCAUACCGCGUGGGUGAAGAAGGCCUUCGGGUUGUAAAGCCCUUUUGUUGGGAAAGAAAAGCAGCAGGUUAAUACCCCGCUGUUCUGACGGUACCCAAAGAAUAAGCACCGGCUAACUUCGUG
This 492-nucleotide ribosomal RNA is filed under the name uncultured bacterium. RNAcentral's name for it is "partial 16S ribosomal RNA". It matches the Rfam family "Bacterial small subunit ribosomal RNA", at positions 29 to 507 of the family's 1533-position model. The record is from RNAcentral.